RNAcentral lists this unclassified non-coding RNA (306 nucleotides) under uncultured Agaricales. RNAcentral's name for it is "sequence contains 5.8S rRNA gene, ITS2, 28S rRNA gene". The stretch from base 1 to 52 matches the Rfam family "5.8S ribosomal RNA", at positions 103 to 154 of the family's 154-position model. Lineage: Eukaryota; Fungi; Basidiomycota; Agaricomycetes; Agaricales. The record is from RNAcentral.
AACGCACCUUGCGCUCCUUGGUAUUCCGAGGAGCAUGCCUGUUUGAGUGUCAUUAAAUUCUCAAACCCUUCCAGCUUUUGUGUGGCUUGGAAGUGGCUUGGAUCGUUGGGGGUUUUCUGCAGGCCUCUCUUGUUGAGGUUGGCUCCCCUGAAAUGCAUUAGCGGAACUGUCUGCGGUCACUGGUGUGAUAAACUAUCUGCACCAAAGCACUGGCUGCUUUCUGUUUGGCUUCCAAUCUGUCCUAUACCCUGGACAACUUUCAUGAACUUUGACCUCAAAUCAGGUAGGACUACCCGCUGAACUUAA